RNAcentral lists this ribosomal RNA (398 nucleotides) under uncultured bacterium. Its description in RNAcentral is "bacterial SSU rRNA". It matches the Rfam family "Bacterial small subunit ribosomal RNA", at positions 358 to 773 of the family's 1533-position model. The record is from RNAcentral.
GGGAUAUUGCACAAUGGGCGCAAGCCUGAUGCAGCAACGCCGCGUGCAGGAAGAAGGGCUUCGGCUCGUAAACUGCUUUUCUGCGGGACGAUAAUGACGGUACCGCAGGAAGAAGUCUCGCAUAACUACGUUCCAGCAGCCGCGGUAAAACGUAGGAGGAAAGCGUUAUCCGGAUUUACUGGGCGUAAAGGGCGUGCAGGUGGUUUGUUAAGUGGUGCGUGAAAGCGCUCGGCUCAACCGGGCGAGGGCGUGCCAAACUGACAGACUAGAAACAGGCAGAGGAAAGUGGAAUUCGGGGUGUAGUGGUGAAAUGCGUAGAGAUCCCGAGGAACUCCAGUGGCGAAGGCGACUUUCUGGGCCUGCUUUGACACUCAGACGCGAAAGCAUGGGGAGCGAAC